Molecule: long non-coding RNA, 122 nt
Organism: Quercus lobata
Lineage: Eukaryota; Viridiplantae; Streptophyta; Magnoliopsida; Fagales; Fagaceae
Exons: 2
Source: RefSeq, a predicted model, not a curated record
AGAGCACCCACUUGUGGGACAGGUGGACACAAAAUAGGACACCGAGGCAGCUCUAUGCAUGAUGAUGAGCCUAAGGAUGAUGUCCCGCAGCCUCCUCCCCCGCCCAAACAUUAUACGAGGGU